RNAcentral lists this ribosomal RNA (862 nucleotides) under Leccinum pachyderme. RNAcentral describes it as "eukaryotic LSU rRNA". The stretch from base 214 to 368 matches the Rfam family "5.8S ribosomal RNA". Lineage: Eukaryota; Fungi; Basidiomycota; Agaricomycetes; Boletales; Boletaceae. The record is from RNAcentral.
AAGUAAAAAGUCGUAACAAGGUUUCCGUAGGUGAACCUGCGGAAGGAUCAUUAUUGAAUACACACAGGAUUGUUGCUGGCUAGAUUCAUUUCUAGCAUCGUGCACAUCUAUCUUCCACACACACACUUGUGAACUUACUGUAGAUCGCAAGAUCUAUGUCUUUAAUUCAUCACAUAUCCAUCGUAUGUCUACAGAAUGUUACAAAUAUAAUACAACUUUCAGCAAUGGAUCUCUUGGUUCUCGCAUCGAUGAAGAACGCAGCGAAUUGCGAUACGUAAUGUGAAUUGCAGAUUUUCAGUGAAUCAUCGAAUCUUUGAACGCACCUUGCGCCCCUUGGUAUUCCGAGGGGCAUGCCUGUUUGAGUGUCAUUUAAUUAUCAACCAUUUAGUCUUUGAUUAGACUUUUUUUUGGAUUGGAGUUGGGAAUUGCUGGUCUUAACAAAAGGAUCAGCUGUCCUUAAAUGCAGUAGCAAGUGAAAGUGAUUUUACGUGGCACGGCCUUUGACGUGAUAAUGAUCGUUGUGGGCUGGAAGCGUUUAAUAAAGCUAGUAGUUUGCUUUAAUUAUAUAACGAGUGAAUUUCUAUGUGCAUACGGCUGGAAAGCAUUAGUAAUGGAAGCUUGAGCGGAAAGUAAGCUAUGUUGUAAAAGGCAUAGUAAAUGUGGAAGCUUGAGUGAAAGUGAGAAUGUGUAGUAGGGCUGGAAGGCAUAGCAUUGAAGCUAGUUAAACAAGGAAUUGAAAAAUAACCUGUGGAAUAUUUCUAUGUGCAUAGCAUAGUUAUUGAGAAACUAGUGAAAAAGUAAAUUCCGACUUGAAAGUUGACCUCAAAUCAGGUAGGACUACCCGCUGAACUUAAGCAUAUCA